RNAcentral lists this ribosomal RNA (492 nucleotides) under uncultured bacterium. RNAcentral's name for it is "partial 16S ribosomal RNA". It matches the Rfam family "Bacterial small subunit ribosomal RNA", at positions 29 to 507 of the family's 1533-position model. The record is from RNAcentral.
AGUGAACGCUGGCGGUAGGCCUAACACAUGCAAGUCGAACGGCAGCACAGUAAGAGCUUGCUCUUACAGGUGGCGAGUGGCGGACGGGUGAGGAAUACAUCGGAAUCUACUUUUUCGUGGGGGAUAACGUAGGGAAACUUACGCUAAUACCGCAUACGACCUACGGGUGAAAGCAGGGGAUCUUCGGACCUUGCGCGAUUGAAUGAGCCGAUGUCGGAUUAGCUAGUUGGCGGGGUAAAGGCCCACCAAGGCGACGAUCCGUAGCUGGUCUGAGAGGAUGAUCAGCCACACUGGAACUGAGACACGGUCCAGACUCCUACGGGAGGCAGCAGUGGGGAAUAUUGGGCAAUGGGCGCAAGCCUGAUCCAGCCAUACCGCGUGAGUGACGAAGGCCUUCGGGUUGUAAAGCCCUUUUGUUGGGAAAGAAAAGCAGCAGGUUAAUACCCCGCUGUUCUGACGGUACCCAAAGAAUAAGCACCGGCUAACUUCGUG